This 433-nucleotide ribosomal RNA is filed under the name uncultured bacterium. Its description in RNAcentral is "bacterial SSU rRNA". It matches the Rfam family "Bacterial small subunit ribosomal RNA", at positions 957 to 1391 of the family's 1533-position model. The record is from RNAcentral.
GAACGCGAAGAACCUUACCAGGUCUUGACAUCCCGAUGCUAUUUCUAGAGAUAGAAAGUUACUUCGGUACAUCGGUGACAGGUAGUGCAUGGUUGUCGUCAGCUCGUGUCGUGAGAUGUUGGGUUAAGUCCCGCAACGAGCGCAACCCCUAUUGUUAGUUGCCAUCAUUUAGUUGGGCACUCUAGCGAGACUGCCGGUAAUAAACCGGAGGAAGGUGGGGAUGACGUCAAAUCAUCAUGCCCCUUAUGACCUGGGCUACACACGUGCUACAAUGGCUGGUACAACGAGUCGCAAGCCGGUGACGGCAAGCUAAUCUCUUAAAGCCAGUCUCAGUUCGGAUUGUAGGCUGCAACUCGCCUACAUGAAGUCGGAAUCGCUAGUAAUCGCGGAUCAGCACGCCGCGGUGAAUACGUUCCCGGGUCUUGUACACACC